AACUGCACAUGCUUAUAAAAUAAGUAUCGAGAAUGGUACUUAUAGGAGUAGAGAAGAUAAGAAAGUCACGCGGGAAAGCCAACAAAAAAUACAAAAUUUUUUUACUGCUGUGAAAGAUAUCAAUUUCAAUCAUUCUAAUGCAGGAAAUAUAAUUCUGGAGCAUAUCAACAACUUAAAUUCUAUUAAACAACUAAGAGAUGCAGAGAUUAAAACUAUUAUGGAGCAAAUUAAGAAUGUUAGAACAAAACAUGUUGAAGAAAGUGAUUAUUUAGAAAGUUAUGAAUGCGCUAUUAUCAUUAAUGAGUCUAACACGAUAGAGGCAAUAAAAUUUUUACGAAGAUUUUAUCUACAAAAAAAUAAAAGUAAAAAAUUUAUAUUGGUGAAUGAAAGUGAUUUACCAGUCUAUCUAAAACAGCACGUUUUACGAUUACGAAAUUUUAGUGGAAAAAAAAUCGAAUAAUACGGAUGUUAAUAAAAAAACCUACAAAAAUUUAAAACUUCCGACAAGAAAAGAGGUUUUGGUUAACUAAAAUUUUCUUUCUUUUUCAUCAUCAUUUCUAUCAUAUAUGUGGUAUCUUCGAACAAUUUAUAUAAUUUCUUUCGAAAAAUUUUCAUUUUCAUAUAUUAUUAUAUUCUUUUAAUCUCUUGGAUUAAUUUCAUGUUCAACAACAAGAAAAAGUUAAAAUUAACAAUCGUUGACAUCGAUUCAGCAUCAUUUAAAUAUAAUAUGAGAAGAAUAACUGAAAUGUUAGCUUUUCUUAAGGUCUGGUAUCAUCGUAGUAUCGUACGAAGACUAUUUCUUGGAGAUUUAAACCCGGGUUUUUCAUAUUCUAAUGAUCGUGAUGACAAUUUACAGCCGAUCAGUCAAGAUGAAGCUGCAAUAGGUAGCUCUCUUUUAAAAUAUUACGAUAGGCAUUAUGGGACUGGAGAUAUUUUAUCCAAAAGUGCACCAGAACCCAGUCCUACUUCACAGAGGGAUAAAUUAAGACUGAGCUUUGAUAGCGAAAUGCCAAAACAAAUGCGAUUAAAAGACAUUGGGCGAGGAUGGAGUUUUACUUCAGAAAAAAUAAAUGUCACUACUUCAGAAAUAAAAAAGAGAAUCUGCUUGAGAAACAUUAGUGCUUUUUGCUAUUAAUUUUACACGACUUAAUGUUCAUAUGAAUAUGGGUAAUGUGAUAGGAAAUGUUGCUUGGAUGACCAAAGACUUCCGUUCAAAUGGAAGAUUAUCAAUAGAAAGUACAGGACAUAUAAACUUAUUUAUUGGAAUUGGUAUAGGUGGAUCUAGUCUAGAUGCUAAAAGUGGAUUUGUUGGUGGAACAAUAGAGCUAAGUAAAAUUGAUACAUACAUUCAUAUUCGUGAAGAGCCUGGAAUUGAGCCAGAUCAUACACUGGGUUUAAAAUUAUUCGCAUUGGAGUUACGGCUUGAUUACGUGGGCACGAGCGUUUUGAUGACAAGAAUAUCUUCUUUAGAUGUUACUCUGCGAGAUGAAUGGAAAAUUAAUACUCAAACCACUAAUAACAAUGAUGCUUUUAUGCCAACAAGAAGACCAGCGAUUAUUUUUAUGCAUGGUGAUCUUGGUUGGGAUCAGUUACAGAUUAUGAUAAGUAAAUCAACGACUGUAGACUUACUUGAAAUGUUUUAUAAACUUGGUGAAUUCUUGGGUCAACAGUUCAAAAGUAGCAAACGAGUAUUUAAUUCUCUUCAACCCCGAAAUCAAAGAGUUAUCUCUAGCAAUAGUUUUAAAAAUAAACAGCAGAAAAAGAAAUCAAAUGAUGGGCCCCGGACAUUUAAUCAAACAGCUAUAUCUGAUGCUAGACAUCAUCGACAUUGGCAACGAGUUUUAGCACAAGUAGCAGGUUUACAGCUUAGCACUCUACAAUUUUCUUUACCUAGUAAUGCCACUGUUCUUGGAGGAACUAUGGAAUUUUAUGGAUGCAAUAUUAGUCUUGCUUGUUUCCACGGAAUUAAUUUUACAAGUAAAAAUUGGACAUUGUUUUCUCUUGAAGAGCCUUGCAUCAGUUUUGCCACAGAAGCACAAGAAAUACCAAGUGUUAUGCUUAACAUUAUGCUUUUGAUAAUAGUGAAAUUGAUGCUGUUGACCGGUUUCCGUGUGUCGAAAGAGAAUGAUCAGAGAUACCACUGGACAAUAAUACGAACAGUCGUGGCAGAAGAACAUCGUCAGCUUCUAUCAAGCUUCAAGAGCACACUCAUGCACGAGAAGUUAUUUUUAUUUUGUUUUACCUUCAUUGCAGUUACACUUAAAAACUGAGCAUUUACAAACAGCGAAAACACCAGACGUAAUAAGUGAGAAGCCGCUCGUGAAAUACAGUUUCAUUACUGAAUUUGAAGAUCACAUAUUUGUUGCCGUGUAUGCUGAAGCAUUUUUCUCUUUACAUGAUCUCAUCACUUCUUACGUCAAUGAGAAGGAAAAAGUACAUGCAGGAGGCUUGCGAACCAAUAGCCCCGAUCCUCAGGAAAAACAGAGUACAAAUAAAUGUCCAGCAUCGAAUACUACGUCAAUUCCUUCAAUCUCUAUCUCUGAAGAAGAGAAAAAACGAAAACAAUUCGAUCCAGCCGAAAUGUUUAUUAAAGAUUAGCGAUCAUAUAGAUGCAAAACAUGGCAUUUAGAACCGACCGUGAGAUUACUUUCAUGGGCUGGAAAAAGUAUUGAGCCUUACGGAAUAGACUACAUUUUACAAAAAUUAGGAUUUUCUUAUGCACGAACAACAAUUCCGAAAUGGAUUCAAAGAGGAUUCAUGGAUCCACUGGAUAAAUUACUAGCUGCUCUUAUGUUAAGAAUGGUUCUAGCCGGGAAAACAAAAUAGAGAGGAUAACGCGUAAUGCCUCACAAAAUCAAAUGAAAUAAAAGACAAUUAAAUUUUACAAGCAACGACUUAACACAAAUAUAGAGUAUUAUUCAUUGUCAUGCUUAGUCGAGCUUUAGGUGGAAAUUAAAUACUAAUUGUAGUUAAUGAAUUUGGAGAAAUAUUUUUCGGGGAAUAAUUCGGUUGAUUCGUGGGAAUAUUGGGAAACUAAUGUGAUUAAAUAGACAAUUUCAUACUUACGAAUAAUAGUGAAAAUUAAUAUGUUAUAGUAAUAAUAGUAAUAUAAUGUAGUAAUAAAUUAUAGUAAUCGGUGAGCGGCUUAUCAUUAGUAGAUGAUUCGUCCAUUUGUUCCGUUCUGUACUGUAUAUAAAAUAAAUAGGUCAAUAAUAUCUCUAUAAAUAUCAUCGAGAGCGAACCAAAAAGUGCAAAUUUAUAAUCGUUAUAUGUGAUAUUUUUUUAUAAACA
RNAcentral lists this unclassified non-coding RNA (3291 nucleotides) under Chelonus insularis. RNAcentral describes it as "transmembrane protein KIAA1109-like, transcript variant X2". Lineage: Eukaryota; Metazoa; Arthropoda; Insecta; Hymenoptera; Braconidae. The record is from RNAcentral.